Molecule: ribosomal RNA, 447 nt
Filed under: uncultured bacterium
Lineage: Bacteria
Description: bacterial SSU rRNA
Rfam family: Bacterial small subunit ribosomal RNA
Source: RNAcentral
GAUUAACGCUGGCAGUGUGUAUAAUACAUGCAAGUCGACUGCAUUUAGUUGCAGGGCAGACGGGUGAGUAACACGUUGGUUAUCUGCCCCGAAGACCGGGAUAACCCGAGGAAACUCGGGCUAAUACCGGAUACCCCCACCAGGUCGCAUGGCCAGGUGAGGAAAUGCUCCGGUGCUUUGGGAGGGUCUCGCGGCCUAUCAGCUAGUUGGUGAGGUAACGGCUCACCAAGGCAUCGACGGGUAGCUGGUCUGAGAGGACGAUCAGCCACACUGGGACUGAGACACAGCCCAGACUCCUACGGGAGGCAGCAGUAGGGAAUCUUGCGCAAUGGGCGAAAGCCUGACGCAGCAACGCCGCGUGGGGGAUGAAGGCUCUCGGGUCGUAAACCCCUUUCAGGAGGGACGAAAAUGACGGUACCUCCAGAAGAAGCCCCGGCCAACUACGUG